Molecule: long non-coding RNA, 532 nt
Filed under: Danio rerio (zebrafish)
Lineage: Eukaryota; Metazoa; Chordata; Actinopteri; Cypriniformes; Danionidae
Description: si:dkey-103j14.4 (ENSDARG00000093705.3)
Source: RNAcentral
GUGGUUUUUAGCAGGUGUGGUAUACUGCUAUAAGGUUGUUUACACGAGUUAGUUGGCGCAAGCCGAAAGUACACAAGACUUCGCAAAAUACACGGAAAUAAUGCGAUAAAACCAAACGCUGCCACUGUUUGAGAGUGAAGAGUUCGAUUGGAUAGGCCUGUUUGAGAUUUAGCUGAGACGCCAAAAGUGCAGGAUGUCCUCUUUAACGGAGGCCCAGGCCAUGCGUGGAGUGGUGAAGCUGGCGGUCCAGUCGCCCGUGGAGGACAGAAGGACAGCUCCUCCACAUCCCUUCACCCUCUGGCUCAUGUACUGCAGCGAGGCUUCAGCGGCGCCUACGGCUGAUUUCCCUGCAUUGCACAAGAAAACACUCAAACACAUGGUGCCUGUCAAUUCGGUGGAUGGGGAAAACUCCUACGUCACAUUGCGAUGGGCCUCAAAAUCACUAGGAUUUGAAUCCUAUUUUAACGUCAGGACAUUUAAAAAAAAAGACACUUGUGUUUCUAUCACCCCAAUAUAACAGUAGAAUAUACAU